UUUUUUUUUUUGAGACGGAGUCUUGCUCUGUUGCCCAAGCUGGAGUGCAGUGGCAUAAUCUCCGCUCUCCACAACCUCCACCUUCUGGGUUCAAGCAAUUCUCCUGCCUCAGCCUCCCGAGUAGCUGGGUUUACAGGCGCACGCCACCAUGCCCAGCUAAUUUUUUGUAUUUUUAGUAGAGAUGGGGUUUCACCAUGUUGGCCAGGGUGGUCUUGAACUCCUGACCUCAGGUGAUCCGCCCGCCUCGGCCUCCCAAAGUGCUGGGAUUAAAGGCAUAAGCCACCGCGCCCAGCCU
Long non-coding RNA from Sapajus apella (tufted capuchin), 295 nucleotides. RefSeq lists it as uncharacterized. The transcript has 3 exons. The record is from RefSeq and is a predicted model, not a curated record. NCBI's taxonomy places the organism in Eukaryota, Metazoa, Chordata, Mammalia, Primates, Cebidae.